UACGUAGGGUGCAAGCGGUAAUCGGAAUUACUGGGCGUAAAGCGUGCGCAGGCGGUUUUGUAAGUCUGAUGUGAAAUCCCCGGGCUCAACCUGGGAAUUGCAUUGGAGACUGCAAGGCUAGAAUCUGGCAGAGGGGGGUAGAAUUCCACGUGUAGCAGUGAAAUGCGUAGAGAUGUGGAUGAACACCGAUGGCGAAGGCAGCCCCCUGGGUCAAGAUUGACGCUCAUGCACGAAAGCGUGGGGAGCAAACAGG
RNAcentral lists this ribosomal RNA (253 nucleotides) under uncultured bacterium. RNAcentral describes it as "partial 16S ribosomal RNA". It matches the Rfam family "Bacterial small subunit ribosomal RNA", at positions 524 to 776 of the family's 1533-position model. The record is from RNAcentral.